CCUACGGGACGCAGCAGUGGGGAAUAUUGGGCAAUGGGCGCAAGCCUGACCCAGCAACGCCGCGUGAAGGAAGAAGGCUUUCGGGUUGUAAACUUCUUUUAAGAGGGAAGAGCAGAAGACGGUACCUCUUGAAUAAGCCACGGCUAACUACGUGCCAGCAGCCGCGGUAAUACGUAGGUGGCAAGCGUUGUCCGGAUUUACUGGGUGUAAAGGGAGCGUAGACGGUAUGGCAAGUCUGAUGUGAAAACCCGGGGCUCAACCCCGGGACUGCAUUUGAAACUGUUUUUCUUGAGUACCGGAGAGGU
RNAcentral lists this ribosomal RNA (305 nucleotides) under uncultured bacterium. Its description in RNAcentral is "bacterial SSU rRNA". It matches the Rfam family "Bacterial small subunit ribosomal RNA", at positions 338 to 658 of the family's 1533-position model. The record is from RNAcentral.